UGGGGUGUGGCUUAGUGGUAGAGUGCUUGCCUGGCAUGUGCAGAGCACUGGGUUCCAUCCUCAGCACCACAU
Ictidomys tridecemlineatus (thirteen-lined ground squirrel) is the source of this 72-nucleotide non-coding RNA. The record is from Rfam. Lineage: Eukaryota; Metazoa; Chordata; Mammalia; Rodentia; Sciuridae.